UAAAACUCUGUUGUUAGGGAAGAACUAGUAUCGGUGUAACCGCCGGUACCUUGACGGUACCUCACCAGAAAGCCCCGGCUAACUACGUGCCAGCAGCCGCGGUAAUACGUAGGGGGCGAGCGUUGUUCGGAAUUAUUGGGCGUAAAGCGCGCGCAGGCGGUCCUUUAAGUCUGAUGUGAAAGCCCCCGGCUCAACCGCGGAGGGUCAUUUGAAACUGCGCGACUUGAGUGCAGAAGAGGAAAGCGGAAUUCCCCGUGUAGCGGUGAAAUGUGUAGAGAUAUGGAGGAACACCAGUGGCGAAGGCGGCUUUCUGGUCCGUAACUGACGCUGAGACGCGAAAGCGUGGGGAGCAAACACGAUUAGAUACCCCGGUAGUCCACGCCGUAUACGAUGAGCGCUACGUGUUGGAGGUAUUCCGCCCUUCAGUGCCGCAGCUAACGCAUUAAGCUUCCCGCCUGG
Molecule: ribosomal RNA, 459 nt
Filed under: uncultured bacterium
Lineage: Bacteria
Description: bacterial SSU rRNA
Rfam family: Bacterial small subunit ribosomal RNA
Source: RNAcentral